RNAcentral lists this ribosomal RNA (683 nucleotides) under uncultured Escherichia sp. RNAcentral's name for it is "bacterial SSU rRNA". It matches the Rfam family "Bacterial small subunit ribosomal RNA", at positions 69 to 741 of the family's 1533-position model. The record is from RNAcentral. Lineage: Bacteria; Pseudomonadati; Pseudomonadota; Gammaproteobacteria; Enterobacterales; Enterobacteriaceae.
GUAACAGAAAGCAGCUUGCUGCUUUGCUGACGAGUGGCGGACGGGUGAGUAAUGUCUGGGAAACUGCCUGAUGGAGGGGGAUAACUACUGGAAACGGUAGCUAAUACCGCAUAACGUCGCAAGACCAAAGAGGGGGACCUUAGGGCCUCUUGCCAUCGGAUGUGCCCAGAUGGGAUUAGCUAGUAGGUGGGGUAACGGCUCACCUAGGCGACGAUCCCUAGCUGGUCUGAGAGGAUGACCAGCCACACUGGAACUGAGACACGGUCCAGACUCCUACGGGAGGCAGCAGUGGGGAAUAUUGCACAAUGGGCGCAAGCCUGAUGCAGCCAUGCCGCGUGUAUGAAGAAGGCCUUCGGGUUGUAAAGUACUUUCAGCGGGGAGGAAGGGAGUAAAGUUAAUACCUUUGCUCAUUGACGUUACCCGCAGAAGAAGCACCGGCUAACUCCGUGCCAGCAGCCGCGGUAAUACGGAGGGUGCAAGCGUUAAUCGGAAUUACUGGGCGUAAAGCGCACGCAGGCGGUUUGUUAAGUCAGAUGUGAAAUCCCCGGGCUCAACCUGGGAACUGCAUCUGAUACUGGCAAGCUUGAGUCUCGUAAAGGGGGGUAGAAUUCCAGGUGUAGCGGUGAAAUGCGUAGAGAUCUGGAGGAAUACCGGUGGCGAAGGCGGCCCCCUGGACGAAGACU